GUGGGGAAUUUUGGACAAUGGGGGCAACCCUGAUCCAGCCAUGCCGCGUGCGGGAAGAAGGCCUUCGGGUUGUAAACCGCUUUUGUCAGGGAAGAAAUCCUUUGGGUUAAUACCUCGGAGGGAUGACGGUACCUGAAGAAUAAGCACCGGCUAACUACGUGCCAGCAGCCGCGGUAAUACGUAGGGUGCGAGCGUUAAUCGGAAUUACUGGGCGUAAAGCGGGCGCAGGCGGUUUUGUAAGAUCGAUGUGAAAUCCCCGGGCUCAACCUGGGAACUGCAUUGGUGACUGCGAGGCUUGAGUGCGGCAGAGGGGGAUGGAAUUCCGCGUGUAGCAGUGAAAUGCGUAGAUAUGCGGAGGAACACCGAUGGCGAAGGCAAUCCCCUGGGCCUGCACUGACGCUCAUGCACGAAAGCGUGGGGAGCAAACGGGAUUAGAAACCCUUGUAGUCC
RNAcentral lists this ribosomal RNA (450 nucleotides) under uncultured bacterium. Its description in RNAcentral is "partial 16S ribosomal RNA". It matches the Rfam family "Bacterial small subunit ribosomal RNA", at positions 354 to 796 of the family's 1533-position model. The record is from RNAcentral.